GAUGAACGCUGGCGGCGUGCCUAAUACAUGCCAGUCGAGCGAACAGACGAGGAGCUUGCUCCUCUGACGUUAGCGGCGGACGGGUGAGUAACACGUGGAUAACCUACCUAUAAGACUGGGAUAACUUCGGGAAACCGGGGCUAAUACCGGAUAAUAUAUUGAACCGCAUGGUUCAAUAGUGAAAGACGGUUUUGCUGUCACCUAUAGAUGGAUCCGCGCCGCAUUAGCUAGUUGGUAAGGUAACGGCUUACCAAGGCAACGAUGCGUAGCCGACCUGAGAGGGUGAUCGGCCACACUGGAACUGAGACACGGUCCAGACUCCUACGGGAGGCAGCAGUAGGGAAUCUUCCGCAAUGGGCGAAAGCCUGACGGAGCAACGCCGCGUGAGUGAUGAAGGUCUUCGGAUCGUAAAACUCUGUUAUUAGGGAAGAACAAAUGUGUAAGUAACUAUGCACGUCUUGACGGUACCUAAUCAGAAAGCCACGGCUAACUACGUG
Molecule: ribosomal RNA, 497 nt
Filed under: uncultured bacterium
Lineage: Bacteria
Description: partial 16S ribosomal RNA
Rfam family: Bacterial small subunit ribosomal RNA
Source: RNAcentral